RNAcentral lists this ribosomal RNA (673 nucleotides) under Planktothrix clathrata PUPCCC 108.8/1. RNAcentral's name for it is "bacterial SSU rRNA". It matches the Rfam family "Bacterial small subunit ribosomal RNA", at positions 99 to 813 of the family's 1533-position model. The record is from RNAcentral. Lineage: Bacteria; Bacillati; Cyanobacteriota; Cyanophyceae; Oscillatoriales; Microcoleaceae.
CGGACGGGUUGGUAACGCGUGAGAACCUGCUCUAGGACGGGGCUACAGUUGGAAACGACUGUCUAAACCCGGAUGAGCCGAAAGGUAAAAGAUUUAUCGCCUAGAGAGGGGCUUGCGUCUGAUUAGCUAGUUGGUAAGGUAAAGGCUUACCAAGGCGACCAUCAGUAGCUGGUCUGAGAGGAUGAUCAGCCACACUGGGACUGAGACACGGCCCAGACUCCUACGGGAGGCAGCAGUGGGGAAUUUUCCGCAUGGGCGAAAGCCUGACGGAGCAAGACCGCGUGGGGGAGGAAGGUUCUUGGAUUGUCAACCCCUUUUCUCAGGGAAGAACAAAAUGACGGUACCUGAGGAAAAACCAUCGGCUAACUCCGUGCCAGCAGCCGCGGUAAUACGGGGGAUGCAAGCGUUAUCCGGAAUGAUUGGGCGUAAGAGUCCGUAGGUAGCCAAUCAAGUCUGCUGUUAAAGAGCGAGGCUUAACUUCGUAAAGGCAGUGGAAACUGGAAGGCUAGAGUGUAGUAGGGGCAGAGGGAAUUCCUGGUGUAGCGGUGAAAUGCGUAGAGAUCAGGAAGAACACCGGUGGCGAAGGCGCUCUGCUGGGCUAUAACUGACACUGAGGGACGAAGCUAGGGAGCGAAUGGGAUUAGAUACGCAGUAGUCACGCGUUAUCACCCGU